This 392-nucleotide ribosomal RNA is filed under the name uncultured Gammaproteobacteria bacterium. RNAcentral's name for it is "bacterial SSU rRNA". It matches the Rfam family "Bacterial small subunit ribosomal RNA", at positions 370 to 779 of the family's 1533-position model. The record is from RNAcentral. Lineage: Bacteria; Pseudomonadati; Pseudomonadota; Gammaproteobacteria.
AAUGGGCGCAAGCCUGACCGAGCCAUGCCGCGUGAGCGAUGAAGGCCUUAGGGUUGUAAAGCUCUUUCGCCAGGGAUGAUAAUGACAGUACCUGGUAAAGAAACCCCGGCUAACUCCGUGCCAGCAGCCGCGGUAAUACGGAGGGGGUUAGCGUUGUUCGGAAUUACUGGGCGUAAAGCGUACGUAGGCGGAUUGGAAGGUUGGGGGUGAAAUCCCAGGGCUCAACCCUGGAACUGCCUCCAAAACUGCCAGUCUUGAGUUCGAGAGAGGUGAGUGGAACUCCGAGUGUAGAGGUGAAAUUCGUAGAUAUUCGGAAGAACACCAGUGGCGAAGGCGGCUCACUGGCUCGAUACUGACGCUGAGGUACGAAAGUGUGGGGAGCAAGCAGGAUU